AUAUAGCUGGUUCUCCGCGAAAUGCAUUUAGGUGCAGCGUCGUGCGUUCAACGAUGGGGGUAGAGCACUGAAUGGGCUAGGGGUCCUACAAGACUACCGACCCCAAUCAAACUCCGAAUACCAUCGUUCCAGAGCACGGCAGUGAGACCUCGGGGGAUGAGCUUCGAGGUCGAGAGGGAAACAGCCCAGACCGCCGGCUAAGGUCCCAAAAUCUGAACUAAGUGGUAAACGAUGUGAGAUUGCGAAGACAGCCAGGAGGUUGGCUUGGAAGCAGCCAUCCUUGAAAGAGUGCGUAACAGCUCACUGGUCGAGUGAUCUUGCGCGGACAAUGUAACGGGGCUCAAGUUCAGUACCGAAGCCGCGGAUGCGACUCUUUGAGUCGUGUGGUAGCGGAGCGUCGAGCGUGCAGCGAAGCGGCGGGACAACCCAGCCGUGGAGCGCGUUCGAGUGCGAAUGUUGGCAUGAGUAGCGAAUGAGGGGUGAGAACCCCCUCCGCCGUAUGUCCAAGGGUUCCUGGGCGAGGCCAAUCCUCCCAGGGUGAGUCGGGAGCUAAGGCGAGGCCGAGAGGCGUAGUCGAUGCACAACUGGUUGAUAUUCCAGUACCACCAUGUUCGCGUCCGUCCCAAUACUCUGUUGCUAAGGGGCUGUGUUGACUUCGGUCAACGCGAACCGACCCACAUUGUUGCGGGAAGCUGUAGGGGGACGCAGGAAGGUAGAUGAACCCGGUGAAUGGUAGAACCGGGGUAAGCGUGUAGGAGGAGGACCAGGUAAAUCCGGGCCUCAUAAACUCUGAGACGUGAUACCGAGCCGCUUCAGGCGAAGUCAUUGAUCCUAUGCUGCCUAGAAAAGCCCAGCAGCGAGUUGACAUGGUGCCCGUACCCCAAACCAACACAGGUGGACAGGUAGAGCAUACCAAGGCGAGUGGGAUAACUAUGGUUAAGGAACUCGGCAAAUUGCCUCCGUAACUUCGGGAGAAGGAGGACCCCAGUAGCGUGAUGAGACUUGCUCUCUGAGCGUGAAGGGGUGGCACAAAAUUGAGGGAAGCGACUGUUUACCAAAAACACAGCAGCGUGCUAAGCCGUAAGGCGCUGUAUACGCUGUGACUCCUGCCCGGUGCUGGAAGGUUACGGGGAUGGGUUAGUCCUUCGGGACGAAGCUCUGAACCUAAGCCCCAGUAAACGGCGGCCGUAACUAUAACGGUCCUAAGGUAGCGAAAUUCCUUGUCGGGUAAGUUCCGACCUGCACGAAUGGAGUAACGACUUCCCUACUGUCUCAACCAUAGACCCAGCGAAAUUGAAGUACGAGUAAAGAUGCUCGUUAGCUGCAGAAGGACGGAAAGACCCCGUGGACCUUUACUAUAACUUGAUGUUGUGUUUUGAC
Molecule: ribosomal RNA, 1380 nt
Filed under: metagenome
Description: bacterial LSU rRNA
Rfam family: Bacterial large subunit ribosomal RNA
Source: RNAcentral